Schistosoma rodhaini is the source of this 46-nucleotide non-coding RNA. The record is from Rfam. Lineage: Eukaryota; Metazoa; Platyhelminthes; Trematoda; Strigeidida; Schistosomatidae.
GUACUGCUGAGGAGUCCCAUAAUAGGACGAAAUCGCCGUCCAGUGG